GCGAUCUGCCCGCCGCAGCCUUCUAAAGUGCUGGGAUUACAGCUCUCAGAGGACUUUGUAAUUGAAAAGACAGAAUCAUAGAAACAGUAAUCAGGUUCUCAGCAGACUUUUCAAAAUACGUUUCCAAACAUCCCUGUGGAAUUAAGACCAACAUUAGACAAUCUACUGAUUUUCCAGCCUGCUGGUGUCUCUCUGUGCUCAGAUUUUGAAUAAAUGAAUGACUUCAGCUUUGUUUUUCAAUUAAUUGUUAUUUAAUUUAAGACAUCUUAAGAGAUGUACAUAAAAGUACUUUGUAUAAGACAAAGGUGAAGAUUGCCUUAGGCAUAUUUGAGAAGGUUUGUUCAAUAAAAACUUAAGAAAAUAAGUGAA
RNAcentral lists this long non-coding RNA (369 nucleotides) under Homo sapiens (human). RNAcentral's name for it is "HSALNT0378224". Lineage: Eukaryota; Metazoa; Chordata; Mammalia; Primates; Hominidae. The record is from RNAcentral.